UGGGGAAUUUUGGACAAUGGGCGAAAGCCUGAUCCAGCAAUGCCGCGUGUGUGAAGAAGGCCUUCGGGUUGUAAAGCACUUUUGUCCGGAAAGAAAUCCUUGGCUCUAAUACAGUCGGGGGGAUGACGGUACCGGAAGAAUAAGCACCGGCUAACUACGUGCCAGCAGCCGCGGUAAUACGUAGGGUGCAAGCGUUAAUCGGAAUUACUGGGCGUAAAGCGUGCGCAGGCGGUUUGCUAAGACCGAUGUGAAAUCCCCGGGCUCAACCUGGGAACUGCAUUGGUGACUGGCAGGCUAGAGUAUGGCAGAGGGGGGUAGAAUUCCACGUGUAGCAGUGAAAUGCGUAGAGAUGUGGAGGAAUACCGAUGGCGAAGGCAGCCCCCUGGGCCAAUACUGACGCUCAUGCACGAAAGCGUGGGGGAGCAAACAGGAUUAGAUACCCUGGUAGUCCACGCCCUAAACGAUGUCAACUAGUUGUUGGGGAUUCAUUUCCUUAGUAACGUAGCUAACGCGUGAAGUUGACCGCCUGGGGAGUACGGUCGCAAGAUUAAAACUUAAAUGAAUUGACGGGGUCAUAGCUGUUUCCU
RNAcentral lists this ribosomal RNA (587 nucleotides) under uncultured bacterium. Its description in RNAcentral is "partial 16S ribosomal RNA". It matches the Rfam family "Bacterial small subunit ribosomal RNA", at positions 355 to 1375 of the family's 1533-position model. The record is from RNAcentral.